Molecule: transfer RNA, 72 nt
Filed under: Mixia osmundae IAM 14324
Lineage: Eukaryota; Fungi; Basidiomycota; Mixiomycetes; Mixiales; Mixiaceae
Rfam family: tRNA
About the family: Transfer RNA (tRNA) molecules are approximately 80 nucleotides in length. Their secondary structure includes four short double-helical elements and three loops (D, anti-codon, and T loops).
Source: Rfam by way of RNAcentral
GCUCUGGUAGCUUAGUGGUAAAGUACAAUACUGAAGAUAUUGGGAGCGUAAGUUCGAUUCUUGCCCGGAGCA